ACACAUACCCCUACUGCACGGAGAACAUUUUUUUUUUCCUGGUUGAUUCUUUUACUUUUGAUUGACCUUUAUCUUGAUCUAUCCUCUAAGAAAAGUGGGUGGACAAUAACACAAGGUAGAGAAAAGCUGUUUGUAUGGGGGUCACAGAACAAAGAUUCACCAAAGCAGAGGAAAUCCUUCUUCAAGGUGUGUGGAGCUGCCCAAGUAAAAGAAAGCGUGCACUUAUCUCAGCACAGUCCUUCAAAACAAUAUAUCUUUUUUUUCCGCAUGUUACUUAUGUGCUGUUUAAUCUUCUUUCUUUAAUGAUUUCAGUAUUUAAAAUCCACCAGCAAAGAUGCUUGCCUCAAUUUUUCCCUUUUUUAUUUCCCUGGUGUGGACUAAUAAUUCCAUUUUUAAAGGUUGUAGGGGCCUUUCCAUUUUUAUGCCUCUUUUUCCCUCCUGCAUAAGAGAUUGGCUAUAGGAGAUGCCUUCCGGCUGCUGCAUGAAGCGCAUUACUACCUUGUGAUGCCGUGACCCUCCUCUUUGCAUCCCUAACUCUCAAAAGCUGAUUCAGCUUUCAGCUGGUGCUCUGGUGACUGUAUUAUUGCUGCAACUGGAUUCUCUCUUAACUGAUACAAUUACUAUAAGAAGAGAAUGUUGAAUGUUGGAAUGAAGUGGACGGAGAGAGUGAGGUCAAUGCACCCAGGCCAUUUACCUGAAAAUGGUGAAUCCUCCUCAAAUCCAGGUUCUGCUGCUACAUUUGCUACCAGUUCAGGCAGAGUCUCAGCUCUCUGGAAGACAUGAAGAAAAUCUACCUCUGACUUUGUGCAGAACUUUGUUUUCUACUGCCCUACUGUCUGGAAAGCAAUAAAUGCUUUGCUAAAGCUGGUAAAAUGGAACCAAAUCAACUGUUCAAUGGAUUUGGUCCCCUUCAACCAGCUGUAGCUGUGCAUUGAUCACCCGCAUCCCUAAUACUUGGGAAGUUGGAAGGAUAAAAGACUGCUUGCUACUUGCCGACAAGCCAGGAGGCUGAAGACAAACAGCCUGCAAGAUGAUGUCGAUAAGGAAAUUAUGACGCCUGGCACCUAUAGAUCCAUCAUCUAUCGUCUAAACUGGUGGGCUGAACCUGAAUCGUUAUAUGGUUCCAGUCAAUGCUAGGUAACUGAUGGUACUAAUCUUAAUCUCUCUGCUGUAUUGAUUUGCACUGUAAUUUAGCAAUCUGUAUUCUGAAAGGGGUAGCUCUGAAUUGCUCAACUCUCCCUCCACCCCCUCUCUUCAUUUAGCCCUUUUUGCUUGAGGUAAGCUUUUCAAUGCACUCCUUGAAUAAAUAAACUAAUUCAUUUUCUGAAUUUUUAAGUACAAGUCAAAUCAAUAAAAUGUAAUUCAAUUCAUAAA
This is a long non-coding RNA of Erpetoichthys calabaricus (reedfish), 1374 nucleotides long. RefSeq lists it as uncharacterized. Lineage: Eukaryota; Metazoa; Chordata; Cladistia; Polypteriformes; Polypteridae. The transcript is spliced from 4 exons. The record is from RefSeq and is a predicted model, not a curated record.